Molecule: non-coding RNA, 83 nt
Organism: Acanthosepion pharaonis
Lineage: Eukaryota; Metazoa; Mollusca; Cephalopoda; Sepiida; Sepiidae
Source: the annotation of a GenBank genome assembly
CGUACAAUCACCGAUGUUAAGCAAAGUCGGGCCUGAUCAGUACUUAGAUGGGUGACCAUCUUGGAAAUACUAGGUGCUGUAAG